Rosa rugosa (rugosa rose) is the source of this 1374-nucleotide long non-coding RNA. RefSeq lists it as uncharacterized. NCBI's taxonomy places the organism in Eukaryota, Viridiplantae, Streptophyta, Magnoliopsida, Rosales, Rosaceae. The transcript has 6 exons. The record is from RefSeq and is a predicted model, not a curated record.
AUUAUUUUUGGUUGACACAUAGCAAAAUCGGGAGAGCCCAGAGGCUUCGGGAGAAAAAAAGAGAAGAGAGAGAAAGAAAAAGGAGAGGAGAGUUCUGGAGAAGGAGAGUAAGCUCGAGAGAGAGAGAGAGAGAAAACGAGAGCUCGGUGCUCUCAGAACCGAAACACGACUCGACCGAGGAAACCCAGCCAGAGCGCCGACCUCCGGCCACCGAUCGACGACGCAAGACCCCCAGUCCCUCCGACUAGUCGACGCCGUCGCGCCUGUGGCCUUGGAUCGCCCGUGCACGGGACGAGGAGGGCGACUCGACGGUGAAAAGUGGUGACUGCUCUGGCGAGUUUCCGCCAUUUCCGGCCACCGUCUGAGCUUCUUGUGCUUUUCCGACUAUCCUGGCCUUGGCUUCCACUUCGACUACUCCUGUAGACGAGGAAUCGAGAAGUUUUCUGGAUUGUAGAGCGAGAUCCGUCAGUUCAUCUCCAUUCCAGUUUCAACAGAGAGCUCGGGAAGCUGAGUUUGAAUGACUGAAGUGGGAUUCCGAUUUUCCGAGGUAUAAUCUCGAUCUGAUGUUACAAAUGGUACUCGGGGAUAAUCAGAUAUUCCACCCUAGACUCCAUUACCUUCGAUCCUUGUAUGGAAAAAUAUACUUACAAGUUCGAUCCUCAUCCAAGACCCGAGAUUUUCCACCCUAGACUCCAUUACCUUCGUCGCCUUCGUCUUCACAACUCGAGGACCUGAAAGAGAUGGAAUUUUUAUGGAAGGUCAAAUCUAAAGCUUCUAUGGAAGGUCAGACUAGAGAGUAGCAAAUAGCACACCAUCAAGAAAAUUUUACAUGGGAAACAUGAACUUAACUCGACCUCCUACCCUCAUUUUCAUUGUUGCAGCUUGGUUCUCCAUACAAAGUCCCAGUUUUCUAUUGCUCUCUCUCUUCACAAGUUUCUUUCAGAGAAUAGGGUGAGGUUCUUGCUGAGAUCUGGAAGGAAAUAUGAGCAAGCUUUCAAAGCUAGUUGCAUUUGUGGAAGUCGUUCAGUUUGAUUUAUUGGCAUAACACCAAAAGCCAGAUUCUCCUUCAGGUCUCUCUCUCAAAACUGACUAGCCUGGAAUUAAGGCCACAUGCUAUUGAGAGUUGUUAUCUGUCAAAAUAUCAGGUUUGGGAAUAUCUAGUGAAAUGUUGCCUAAAGAGUCACUAAGUGAUCAAGCAUGGAAUACCAAGCAAUGAAGUAAAAUAUAUUUUCUUUCAUCAUGUAAAUUCAGCUAGCUAGGAAACUUUAUAGCAAUGACAUGUUACUUGGAUUCAAUAUCUGGUGGAUAUAUUGGAAUUUUAUUGAUGUAUCACAUUGCUUUUGGCGUAAAUAUUAAUCAUUGUUCAUUGGAUAA